GUAGUCUCGCACAGAUGCAUAUCAAUAAGCGGAGGAAAAGAAACUAACAAGGAUUCCCCUAGUAACGGCGAGUGAAGCGGGAAGAGCUCAAAUUUGAAAUCUUAAAGGGUUUCCCUUUACGAAUUGUAGUUUAAAGAAGUGUUUUCUGUUGAGGUUUUGGUAAAAGUUCUUUGGAAUAGGACAUCAUAGAGGGUGAGAAUCCCGUAUUUGACCUUUACUUUCAACUUUGUGAUACACUUUCAAAGAGUCGGAUUGUUUGGGAAUGCAGUCCAAAAUGGGUGGUAAAUUUCAUCUAAAGCUAAAUAUUGGCGAGAGACCGAUAGCGAACAAGUACCGUGAGGGAAAGAUGAAAAGAACUUUGAAAAGAGAGUUAAACAGUACGUGAAAUUGUCAAAAGGGAAGCGUUUGACACCAGUGUUGUUUUUCUGAAAAUCAAUUAAAGAACUGUUUAUGCUAAGCUGUUUAGACUUUAUCAGCUAUCUGUUUAGUUUUGAGCUUUUCUUUAAUGCACUUUUCAGUUAACAAGUCAACAUCAAUUUCUUUUGCUGUAAAAAGGCUUGAGGAAGGUGGCUUGAGAUUCGUCUUAAGUGUUUAUAGCCUCUUGCCUAUGCAGUCGGAGAGAUUGAGGUCUGCAGCGUAGAUCCUUCGGGGCUAAAUGCAUUUGUGCUAAGUUAUAGCAUUUUAUAGACAACUUGUUGACUAUGAUUUGUCUUGUAGCUUACUCGCUUAUGUUAUUUUACCUACGCUUAGGAUGUUGAGUAGCGACAUACGCAC
RNAcentral lists this ribosomal RNA (774 nucleotides) under uncultured Neocallimastigales. RNAcentral's name for it is "partial large subunit ribosomal RNA". It matches the Rfam family "Eukaryotic large subunit ribosomal RNA", at positions 24 to 649 of the family's 3401-position model. The record is from RNAcentral. Lineage: Eukaryota; Fungi; Neocallimastigomycota; Neocallimastigomycetes; Neocallimastigales.